This 1306-nucleotide long non-coding RNA is filed under the name Cyanistes caeruleus (blue tit). RNAcentral's name for it is "lncRNA (ENSCCEG00000023021.1)". Lineage: Eukaryota; Metazoa; Chordata; Aves; Passeriformes; Paridae. The record is from RNAcentral.
AUGGGAAAUUUAAAACAGAAUCUUCACUUAUCUCCAGGCCUCAAAUUUCUCCAUAUGUCCCAAAAUGUUUGCUUUCAAGAUUUUCUAGGCUGGACUGGGAUGACAGAGUCUGCUCCUGACCAGCGCAUCAGACUAGAAAUGAUAGCAGGACAGCACAGCCACCACUGUCAGUCCUUCAGCUGCUGGUGGUUCAUAGCACUUCUUUACCCAUGGCCUAUGGAAAUUAAUGCAUCUGGUUUUAUUUCAAAAACAGUAAAGGUUUUGGAUCUUUCCUGCACUGAAAGAGUAACUUCAGGCUUGGUUUAAUGUCCCGAGAGGUGAUUUCUCCACACCCCUCCCUGCCCCCUGCCAUCUCCAUCCCUUCCCCAUGCUCUCUAGAAGCGUUCUUUAUGGUUUUCCCACGUCAUCUUCUGCUGUCUGCUGGGGGCUGCUGUGAUUCCCAGCCCAGCUGAGACUGUCUCAGGCCAGCAGAGGCAGAUAAGAAUUAGAUGGCACACGGGAGAGCAUAGAGGAGAGAAUAGGGGUCCAACUCUCAUAGUGGAGGGUAGAUAAUGACACAGAUGAGGAAGAAUCUCUUUGUGGAAGAGGAGGUCAAAGGGCAUGAGCAAUUUGUCUGUUUGAGGGACAAAAACAAAGCUAAAAGGAUUUUGCUAAGUACUGCAAUGCUUCUCAGGUCAGAUAAAUCAGUCCAAGGUAGGCAGAUUCUAGAAAAUCCAAAACUUGCAGCACCCAUUUCAAUGGGGCACUGCAGACUUAAGCACCAUCGUGAGCAAACCAGAACACUGGAGGUCUAAAAGAAAGGUAGACAUGGUCUCUGCUUCUUCCCUCAAGGAGAUGCAGCAAAAAUGUAUUUCCUUAUCAUUCACACUUUCAGCUCUAAAGACAGUCAUAGGAAUCUAUUUCCUUCAUUUUAUGCUGCUUCUCCCACUGUCUUUAUCUUUUCUUUUCCUCUGUAAGCCCAAUCUAUUGUUUUCACUUGAGGUCCAGAUCUGAUGACUUGUUUGCUUUCAUUGUCAAGUAUUGCUUUCUGUUUCACUACUGGUAUCCUUCACUUGUACUUUGAAACAAAGGCGCUAUGCAAACAGAGAACAAACCAUGUCCUACAGCAAAGCAUUUAAGGCUCUUUUGUGUGUUAUCAUGAAUUGUCUUCUAUCAUCCUAUAUUGUUGACUAACUGUGAAACUUUGUACUCUCUGCUAUCCACUGGAUUUGGGGAUCCAGAACAUUUUUUUAAAAAUCACAUUAAAGGCUUUUCCAACCAAAAAUCUUAAUCCCCACAUUUUUAUGCCAAGGUCCAAAGUUUGAUG